RNAcentral lists this ribosomal RNA (2906 nucleotides) under Enterobacter ludwigii. Its description in RNAcentral is "23S ribosomal RNA". Lineage: Bacteria; Pseudomonadati; Pseudomonadota; Gammaproteobacteria; Enterobacterales; Enterobacteriaceae. The record is from RNAcentral.
GGUUAAGCGACUAAGCGUACACGGUGGAUGCCCUGGCAGUCAGAGGCGAUGAAGGACGUGCUAAUCUGCGAAAAGCGCCGGCGAGGUGAUAUGAACCUUUGACCCGGCGAUGUCCGAAUGGGGAAACCCAGUGUGUUCCGACACACUAUCGUUAACUGAAUACAUAGGUUAACGAGGCGAACCGGGGGAACUGAAACAUCUAAGUACCCCGAGGAAAAGAAAUCAACCGAGAUUCCCCCAGUAGCGGCGAGCGAACGGGGAGCAGCCCAGAGUCUGAAUCAGCUUGUGUGUUAGUGGAAGCGUCUGGAAAGUCGCACGGUACAGGGUGACAGUCCCGUACACGAAAGCACACAGGCUGUGAACUCGAAGAGUAGGGCGGGACACGUGGUAUCCUGUCUGAAUAUGGGGGGACCAUCCUCCAAGGCUAAAUACUCCUGACUGACCGAUAGUGAACCAGUACCGUGAGGGAAAGGCGAAAAGAACCCCGGCGAGGGGAGUGAAAAAGAACCUGAAACCGUGUACGUACAAGCAGUGGGAGCCUCUUUAUGGGGUGACUGCGUACCUUUUGUAUAAUGGGUCAGCGACUUAUAUUCUGUAGCAAGGUUAACCGUAUAGGGGAGCCGAAGGGAAACCGAGUCUUAACUGGGCGUUAAGUUGCAGGGUAUAGACCCGAAACCCGGUGAUCUAGCCAUGGGCAGGUUGAAGGUUGGGUAACACUAACUGGAGGACCGAACCGACUAAUGUUGAAAAAUUAGCGGAUGACUUGUGGCUGGGGGUGAAAGGCCAAUCAAACCGGGAGAUAGCUGGUUCUCCCCGAAAGCUAUUUAGGUAGCGCCUCGUGAACUCAUCUUCGGGGGUAGAGCACUGUUUCGGCUAGGGGGCCAUCCCGGCUUACCAACCCGAUGCAAACUACGAAUACCGAAGAAUGUUAUCACGGGAGACACACGGCGGGUGCUAACGUCCGUCGUGAAGAGGGAAACAACCCAGACCGCCAGCUAAGGUCCCAAAGUCAUGGUUAAGUGGGAAACGAUGUGGGAAGGCACAGACAGCCAGGAUGUUGGCUUAGAAGCAGCCAUCAUUUAAAGAAAGCGUAAUAGCUCACUGGUCGAGUCGGCCUGCGCGGAAGAUGUAACGGGGCUAAACCAUGCACCGAAGCUGCGGCAGCGACGCUUAUGCGUUGUUGGGUAGGGGAGCGUUCUGUAAGCCGUUGAAGGUGUCCUGUGAGGGGUGCUGGAGGUAUCAGAAGUGCGAAUGCUGACAUAAGUAACGAUAAAGCGGGUGAAAAGCCCGCUCGCCGGAAGACCAAGGGUUCCUGUCCAACGUUAAUCGGGGCAGGGUGAGUCGACCCCUAAGGCGAGGCCGAAAGGCGUAGUCGAUGGGAAACAGGUUAAUAUUCCUGUACUUGGUGUUACUGCGAAGGGGGGACGGAGAAGGCUAUGUUAGCCGGGCGACGGUUGUCCCGGUUUAAGCAUGUAGGYGGAGGUUCCAGGUAAAUCCGGUACCUUAUUAACGCUGAGGUGUGAUGACGAGGCACUACGGUGCUGAAGUAACAAAUGCCCUGCUUCCAGGAAAAGCCUCUAAGCAUCAGGUAACAUCAAAUCGUACCCCAAACCGACACAGGUGGUCAGGUAGAGAAUACCAAGGCGCUUGAGAGAACUCGGGUGAAGGAACUAGGCAAAAUGGUGCCGUAACUUCGGGAGAAGGCACGCUGAUAUGUAGGUGAAGCCCCUGCGGGUGGAGCUGAAAUCAGUCGAAGAUACCAGCUGGCUGCAACUGUUUAUUAAAAACACAGCACUGUGCAAACACGAAAGUGGACGUAUACGGUGUGACGCCUGCCCGGUGCCGGAAGGUUAAUUGAUGGGGUUAGCGGCAACGCGAAGCUCUUGAUCGAAGCCCCGGUAAACGGCGGCCGUAACUAUAACGGUCCUAAGGUAGCGAAAUUCCUUGUCGGGUAAGUUCCGACCUGCACGAAUGGCGUAAUGAUGGCCAGGCUGUCUCCACCCGAGACUCAGUGAAAUUGAACUCGCUGUGAAGAUGCAGUGUACCCGCGGCAAGACGGAAAGACCCCGUGAACCUUUACUAUAGCUUGACACUGAACACUGGUCCUUGAUGUGUAGGAUAGGUGGGAGGCUUUGAAGCGUGGACGCCAGUCUGCGUGGAGCCAACCUUGAAAUACCACCCUUUAAUGGCUGGUGUUCUAACGUAGACCCGURAUCCGGGUUGCGGACAGUGUCUGGUGGGUAGUUUGACUGGGGCGGUCUCCUCCCAAAGAGUAACGGAGGAGCACGAAGGUUAGCUAAUCCUGGUCGGACAUCAGGAGGUUAGUGCAAUGGCAUAAGCUAGCUUGACUGCGAGAGUGACGGCUCGAGCAGGUGCGAAAGCAGGUCAUAGUGAUCCGGUGGUUCUGAAUGGAAGGGCCAUCGCUCAACGGAUAAAAGGUACUCCGGGGAUAACAGGCUGAUACCGCCCAAGAGUUCAUAUCGACGGCGGUGUUUGGCACCUCGAUGUCGGCUCAUCACAUCCUGGGGCUGAAGUAGGUCCCAAGGGUAUGGCUGUUCGCCAUUUAAAGUGGUACGCGAGCUGGGUUUAGAACGUCGUGAGACAGUUCGGUCCCUAUCUGCCGUGGGCGCUGGAGAAUUGAGGGGGGCUGCUCCUAGUACGAGAGGACCGGAGUGGACGCAUCACUGGUGUUCGGGUUGUCAUGCCAAUGGCACUGCCCGGUAGCUAAAUGCGGAAGAGAUAAGUGCUGAAAGCAUCUAAGCACGAAACUUGCCCCGAGAUGAGUUCUCCCUGAGACUUUAAGUCUCCUGAAGGAACGUUGAAGACUACGACGUUGAUAGGUCGGGUGUGUAAGCGCAGCGAUGCGUUGAGCUAACCGAUACUAAUGAACCGUGAGGCUUAACCUU